This is a long non-coding RNA of Polyodon spathula (Mississippi paddlefish), 1342 nucleotides long. RefSeq lists it as uncharacterized. The record is from RefSeq and is a predicted model, not a curated record. NCBI's taxonomy places the organism in Eukaryota, Metazoa, Chordata, Actinopteri, Acipenseriformes, Polyodontidae. The transcript has 3 exons.
AAUCGCACAGCUGGCAGUAACUUUGUAAACAACACGACUGUGUCUACUACAUGUUGUUCCUUUUCAACGUAAACUGGUAGUUGGUAGCGUAAAACAACAAGCCGUUUAAAUUUAUGACAAUACAAAGCUCCUCUGAGGAGAUUAACUGAGAAAGCAGAACAAUUUGGUGGAACAUGAGAGGUGAAGAGUCCCCUAAUACUCAGCUCUCACACUCCCCACUGGAAGGACAGAGCAUUAUCCCACCGCGCUCCUCGGAUGCUGUCGCUCAGGACAGAAAGAUUUCAUUGAAGUCGUCUUCGCAAAAGAAAAGGAUGAGAUAUCCCUUUGUGGCUCCUCAGUAACAUUGUGUUCAUCGACAAGCUUGCCACAUUCCAUCUUCUGGUUCCCUUAGAAUUCUCUUCUGAGGAGGACAAUGGUGGCUUCCAGAUUUGAGACUUGCACCCCCCCUCCCCCAAGCUCUACUCUCCCUCAGAACUCUAUUAUUCUCCUCGGGCCAAGGGGAGACAUCCUCAUGUCUGAUUUAUAAUAAUUUCAUAUUCACAUAGCAAGAGAAUUCUAGCUCCUUACGGCAAAGAGUAUGAGCGAUAACAAGUCACUGUUUUGUUGGUCUGUCUGUCUCUGUCUCUCUCUCUUUCUCUCUAUGUGUCUGUGUCUAUAAUUCAGGAGACUUUCUGAAAGGAGAAAAAAAUAUAAACAAACUAAAAAAAUCUGUUUCUGGGAAACGCUUUGACAUCGUCUCGUGGUAUUGUGGAUGGGGAGGGGUUGAAGGGGGGGGCGGAUGCCAGAUAAACCUUUUGUAAUCACAGUGAACCGCUGGCCCCAGCUAUGGAUGCUCCAUUGUGCGGAUAUAUUUAUGUAGUUUUAGUGGCUGAUGAAAAGGAGUUCCUCGCAGUUUAGGGAAAGGAUAUGAUCUCAUCUGCAAAGAAUCCGACCUAUGUAAUGCAUUACUCAUGAUUUAACCCAGGCUUCUCCUUGGUGUCCCUUCACCCCCUCCCCCUUGCCCUCCCCUUCCAUUUGCCCCACAAAUCUAAAUUGGUGAAAACAAGAGUUGAAUACAAUGUUCUUAGUAACCUGUACUGCAGUGCACCUCAAAGCACAGGCUCAGACACUAGAGGAAAUGAGCCUGGCUAGACAAAACAGCACAGACAAACGUGUACAACCUAUCCUUCCUCACAUGCAUGUACUGCUGCUUAUCCUCAUGCUGUGUGGUUGAAGUGAGGUAGCAGAAUCGCUGUUAUAUUUCUUAGAAACUGUGUUACCAGCAGUCACAAUGUAAUUCUACAAUAAUGAGAGAGAGAGAGAGAGAGAGAGAGAGAGAGAGAGAGAGAGAGAGAGAGAGAGA